AGUGAACGCUGGCGGUAGGCCUAACACAUGCAAGUCGAACGGCAGCACAGUAAGAGCUUGCUCUUACGGGUGGCGAGUGGCGGACGGGUGAGGAAUACAUCGGAAUCUACUUUUUCGUGGGGGAUAACGUAGGGAAACUUACGCUAAUACCGCAUACGACCUACGGGUGAAAGCAGGGGAUCUUCGGACCUUGCGCGAUUGAAUGAGCCGAUGUCGGAUUAGCUAGUUGGCGGGGUAAAGGCCCACCAAGGCGACGAUCCGUAGCUGGUCUGAGAGGAUGAUCAGCCACACUGGAACUGAGACACGGUCCAGACUCCUACGGGAGGCAGCAGUGGGGAAUAUUGGACAAUGGGCGCAAGCCUGAUCCAGCCAUACCGCGUGGGUGAAGAAGGCCUUCGGGUUGGAAAGCCCUUUUGUUGGGAAAGAAAAGCAGCAGGUUAAUACCCCGCUGUUCUGACGGGACCCAAAGAAUAAGCACCGGCUAACUUCG
RNAcentral lists this ribosomal RNA (490 nucleotides) under uncultured bacterium. RNAcentral describes it as "partial 16S ribosomal RNA". It matches the Rfam family "Bacterial small subunit ribosomal RNA", at positions 29 to 505 of the family's 1533-position model. The record is from RNAcentral.